RNAcentral lists this ribosomal RNA (565 nucleotides) under Staphylococcus aureus. Its description in RNAcentral is "bacterial SSU rRNA". It matches the Rfam family "Bacterial small subunit ribosomal RNA", at positions 26 to 568 of the family's 1533-position model. Lineage: Bacteria; Bacillati; Bacillota; Bacilli; Caryophanales; Staphylococcaceae. The record is from RNAcentral.
AGGAUGAACGCUGGCGGCGUGCCGAAUACAUGCAAGUCGAGCGAACGGACGAGAAGCUUGCUUCUCUGAUGUUAGCGGCGGACGGGUGAGUAACACGUGGAUAACCUACCUAUAAGACUGGGAUAACUUCGGGAAACCGGAGCUAAUACCGGAUAAUAUUUUGAACCGCAUGGUUCAAAAGUGAAAGACGGUCUUGCUGUCACUUAUAGAUGGAUCCGCGCUGCAUUAGCUAGUUGGUAAGGUAACGGCGCUUACCAAGGCAACGAUGCAUAGCCGACCUGAGAGGGUGAUCGGCCACACUGGAACUGAGACACGGUCCAGACUCCUACGGGAGGCAGCACUAGGGAAUCUUCCGCAAUGGGCGAAAGCCUGACGGAGCAACGCCGACGUGAGUGAUGAAGGUCUUCGGAUCGUAAAACUCUGUUAUUAGGGAAGAACAUAUGUGUAAGUAACUGUGCACAUCUUGACGGUACCUAAUCAGAAAGCCACGGCUAACUACGUGCCAGCAGCCGCGGUAAUACGUAGGUGGCAAGCGUUAUCCGGAAUUAUUGUGGGCGUAAAGCGC